Molecule: long non-coding RNA, 1710 nt
Organism: Ictalurus punctatus (channel catfish)
Lineage: Eukaryota; Metazoa; Chordata; Actinopteri; Siluriformes; Ictaluridae
Exons: 3
Source: RefSeq, a predicted model, not a curated record
AUAGAAUAUGAAGCUCUCUGUGGUAGGUCAUAAAAAUAUAUAUAGUUUUGUUAAAUCUGGUUCACAUCCAAAUCGUGACCAUACCUGGUACGGCCAUGUGUAUCCCACAUCCAAACAAAAAUAUCACACACACACACCCACACCCACACACACACACACCCACACACACACACACACACACACACAAACACACACGUGCAUGUACAGACAAACGCAUGCAUACGAACCUGCUUAUAAAAGUCGAGCAUCCCUCUAGGCUUUAUAAUACUCUGUACUUAGAACAACGUGUGCGAUCUUACAACAUGGCUGAUGUUUGUCCUAACGCGCCGAAAAAAGCUCACCCUUUUUUGGGAAGAAUAGAAAAAAUGUUAGAACAUGAAAAGAUUCAAUAUUGGGUAAUGUCAAACGGAUGUACAGCCGGGUUUUUUUUCGAUGCAGAAAAAGGAACCGUUUUGCUUUUCAAGUUCUCGGUCCCGGGAACACACGAUCUUUUCCUUUCACGUAGAAUAUGAAGCACUCCGAGUCAGGCCUAGGUCAAAAGGUCAACAACGUAAAACCCCCGUUCUGAUGCAUUCCCGAGCACAAACACACACCCCCCCCACACACACACACACACUCGAAUGCAUACGAACCUGUUUAUAAAGUCGAGCACUUCGAAAGUUUUAACAUCGGAAAAGGUUCGACCGAAUUUCCAGAGUCAGUUCUUCACUACUUCGAAAGUUUGAACAUCGGCAAAGUUCAACAGAAUUUCCAGACCCCAUGGAUUUCUCGGCAGGUAAAAAUUUGUAUUUUAAUCAAUUAAUAGUUAAAUAUAAAUUGAAAUACAAUGUUUAUGUAAUUAUCCAGUAGGCAAUGAUAUUGAUAUAAACUUAGAACUAAUCAUUCUGAGUACAAAAAUCAUCAUACUUAUCUGGUCAUUAUGUAAUCUGGUACGAUACUUUAUCUAAAUUGUAAAUAUUCAUUACAUUUAUAUUACAGUGCAAGACCGAGUUAAGCUCAUCUGUUUCUAGUGUAUAGGUAAUUAAAAUUUGUCUCUUAGAUCUAUGUAGUGAUCUAAAAUGAGAAUGUUAAGUUAUUAAAAGUAUGUUUUACUGUUUUAUAGACAGCUUGGUGAUUAUUUCUGAUGAUGAGAUUCCCGAAACAACCACUCAGGACCUUUUGAAUCUGAGUUCCACACAAUUUGAGGGAAACGUGUCUAACAGUGAUUACGACGGAGAUAUUUCAGAUACGAGUGCUGCAAUAGAAGACCAAGAGGAAAUCAUCUCGGAAACCGACAUUCAACAAGACAUCAAACUACAACAGAUCUGCGCAGUGUGGCGUGAAUUCUUCGAAGCAAAGACUGAUUUAUUGGAAAACUUUGGACAGAUUGAUUAUACACUUGAAUCUGGUCGAGGUACAGAUUUUAUCCCUUUACUGUACAGCACGCUUGAAAAUGUGAAUAGAUGUCUCACAGUGAGCAUAAAGUUGAUUAGAAAAUUGUAUGAUAGAUAUGGCGCAGAAACGACUGAAAUGCAGUUCGGAUAUGGAGAUUAAAAAAAAGAGAACCGAAAAUUCUCCAUUAUCGCAUGAUUUCUUUUAUGACGGAAACCAGAGUUUUUCAAAUGAUUCGCACACACCCCUGAACCCAUAUUUAACUGAAGCGAUCAACAGGCUGAACGAAAGUUUAAUACCGUCACACCAAGUCGUUAGUGAGAGACAUAAUCAGAGUCC